UACGAAGGGGACUAGCGUUGUUCGGAAUUACUGGGCGUAAAGCGCACGUAGGCGGAUUUGUAAGUCAGGGGUGAAAUCCCGGGGCUCAACCUCGGAACUGCCUUUGAUACUGCAAAUCUCGAGUCCGAUAGAGGUGGGUGGAAUUCCUAGUGUAGAGGUGAAAUUCGUAGAUAUUAGGAAGAACACCGGUGGCGAAGGCGGCCCACCGGAUCGGUACUGACGCUGAGGUGCGAAAGCGUGGGGAGCAAACAGG
Molecule: ribosomal RNA, 253 nt
Filed under: uncultured bacterium
Lineage: Bacteria
Description: partial 16S ribosomal RNA
Rfam family: Bacterial small subunit ribosomal RNA
Source: RNAcentral